GACGAACGCUGGCGGCGUGCUUAACACAUGCAAGUCGAACGGAAAGGCCCUGCUUUUGUGGGGUGCUCGAGUGGCGAACGGGUGAGUAACACGUGAGUAACCUGCCCUUGACUUUGGGAUAACUUCAGGAAACUGGGGCUAAUACCGGAUAGGAGCUCCUGCUGCAUGGUGGGGGUUGGAAAGUUUCGGCGGGUGGGGAUGGACUCGCGGCUUAUCAGCUUGUUGGGGGUGUAGUGGCAUACCAAGGCUUUGGCGGGUAGCCGGCCUGAGAGGGUGCCCGGCCAUAGUGGGACUGAGAGACGGCCGAGACUCAUACGGGGGGCAGCAGUGGAGAAUAUUGCACAAUGGGCGGAAGUCUGAUACAGCAACGCCGCGUGCGGGAUGACGGCCUUGGUGGUGUAAACCUCUUUCUCCUGUGACGAAGCGUGAGUGACGGUAAUUGGUAAAGAAGCACCGGCUAACUACGUG
RNAcentral lists this ribosomal RNA (468 nucleotides) under uncultured bacterium. RNAcentral's name for it is "partial 16S ribosomal RNA". It matches the Rfam family "Bacterial small subunit ribosomal RNA", at positions 28 to 507 of the family's 1533-position model. The record is from RNAcentral.